CCGCCUACAGGGGAUGGAGUCCCCCGUAUAACCGCCUCGGCCAGGCUGAUGACUCCUACGCUACA
RNAcentral lists this non-coding RNA (65 nucleotides) under Nitrospira sp. Its description in RNAcentral is "Fluoride sequence". It matches the Rfam family "Fluoride riboswitch aptamer (crcB RNA motif)". The record is from RNAcentral. RNAcentral also lists the same sequence under 1 other name. Lineage: Bacteria; Pseudomonadati; Nitrospirota; Nitrospiria; Nitrospirales; Nitrospiraceae.